GGAUAGAGGCAGCAUGCUGGGUUGGUUGCUGCCAGGGUUUGUCUAGAGAUGUGUGAAUACCAAGAGGCGUUCAUGCCAGUGUUCUUGUUGAAAAAGAACUGAGGGGCAGUACAGAACUUAACUGUCCGAUGUAUGGCCUCUUGGGCGGAUGAAAGAAGAAGGCACCCUUCAACACUUUGAUUACAGUGUGUGAAAUAAUAUCUAGUAAGGAGGGAAUAAAAAAGCACUGGCUGGGACCAGACAGUAAGGCAAAUUGGUUUGAAUUGAUUUUUAAAUUAGUUAAUUACACUGUUUACAUGUUUUUCAGAAUUACGCAUUAAUUCUAAAUAGCUUAUUUUGUGGCACUAGUGUUUUUUUGUUGGUGUUGUUUUUCUUCAUUGUCUUCAUUAGAGAUUCAGUCUUUCAAGGUUGACUUGCACAAAGUAGAUGAACUCACAAGGCUUUCUUCUGGAAUCAAUUGUUCAGGUACUAGGAGCAGCAGAAUAAGAAACCCUUAAAGAUUGCUGCACGUGCAUGAGAGUAGCCUACUAGAUUUUUAAAGACAGUGUAAACAGGUGCCUGGGGAGUUGCCGAGGUUACCUGAGUGGCACGUUUGAGCACUGCAAUGGUAAGAUCUCCUUAGCAGCAGCAAAUGGCCUUGUGCACAGCUGCCAUGCACAUACUGGUCAUCACCUUGCACAUGCUCUAAUAACGCUGGGAACAUUGUGGGAUGACUACUUUGUGAUAUUUCUUUUCAUAUUAUCUACUGUCAAAUGGAACAGAAUGCUCAGAAAAGCUGCUGAUCUGCUCAAGUUCUGUACUACAGGAGGAGCAUUUUCUGCAGCCUCUGGCAUGACCUUUUUUUUUUCAGAUCCUCAUCUCUGUAUAAUAUAGCCUGUGAUGCUUUAUUUAUGGGAAACACAGAUGCUUCCCAAGCCCCAUCUUCGGUAGCGGCUAUCAUUCCCAGGUCCCAAACAUGGCUCUCCAGUUUGUCUCCUUUGUGAGAUAGGGUGCUGAAGGGAGUGAUGAGUGAAUCGUUUCCAUGGCUUUUGUCAGGAUUUCAAGUUCCCAGAUGGAAAGUUAACCAGGUUAGAAGAGAGCUACUUAAGGCACUAUUGAAAAGAGUGAAGGGGGAAAAAAAAAAAAGUAUGUGAAGGAAAGCAAGUGUGUGAAGUGGUUGUCUGUUUUUUUUUUUUUUUUGUGGUGUAAGAUACUGUGAAAAAGGAACAAGACAUUCAAGUUUCUCCCCUAUUCAUUUGCUUGCUGUUUGUGCUUUCUGGACACCUCCUCCUGAAUUCUACAUAUUAUUUUUAAUUUAGAGGAAAAUGUACAAGUGCAAAUGGACUCUAAUUUUUGUUGUUGUUAUUGUUUAUAUUUGGAAAUGAAAUAUAUGUUAAAAAAAGAGCUUGUUUAACCCUAUGUGCUCAUAUAUUCCUGUUACAGCUCUUGUAAGUUACCACUGUGUUCCUUUUUCAGAAGGCUUCUUGUCUAGAUCUGAUUUCUGAAAUCAACUUUAGUCAUAUCUCCAUUUUGAAACAGUAAAUUGGGAUGGUUACGAAUUGUCAGAUUGUGAGCUGGCACUGCUGAAAUGCAAUAGUAAAAAAAAAAAAGAGAAAAAAAAAAGAAAAAAAAAAAAGAAAAAAGAUUUGCCUCUUCAGUCUGAUCAGAACGAGCAAUCAGUGUUCGUGGGACAACACGUUUCAACAGUGAGAUUUCUUGCCGAAGAUCUGUAAACUGCUUGGGGAAGUAAGUUAACAAUGAAGUAAUCUAAUGAUUAAGUGUUAUAGCAUGACAUUAGCAAAUAGUAAUACCUUGACAUACAGUAGUAGAAAAGAUGAUUGAUUUGUAGGGCUGUUAUGUAUGACUAAUCUAAGGGUAUGUCAAAAUAAUGUUUUCUGGCAGGAAAAACCACAGAGAUCUGUAGUUCAUGGUAGCAGUAAAGAGAUAAUGUUCAUUGCAGAAACUACAUGAGACAAUAAACAAGUUUUGUGGAGCA
This 1975-nucleotide long non-coding RNA is filed under the name Phasianus colchicus (ring-necked pheasant). RNAcentral describes it as "lncRNA (ENSPCLG00000008522.1)". Lineage: Eukaryota; Metazoa; Chordata; Aves; Galliformes; Phasianidae. The record is from RNAcentral.